RNAcentral lists this ribosomal RNA (433 nucleotides) under uncultured bacterium. Its description in RNAcentral is "partial 16S ribosomal RNA". It matches the Rfam family "Bacterial small subunit ribosomal RNA", at positions 29 to 507 of the family's 1533-position model. The record is from RNAcentral.
AACGAACGCUGGCGGCAGGCUUAACACAUGCAAGUCGAACGGAUCCUUCGGGAUUAGUUGCAGACGGGUGAGUAACGCGUGGGAACGUACCCUUUUCUACGGAAUAACUCAUUUUAACUUGAGCUAAUACCGUAUGUGCCCUACGGGGGACAGAUUUAUCGGCACAGGAUCGGCCCGCGUUGGAUUAGCUUGUUGGUUGGGUAAUGGCCUACCAAGGCGAGGAUCCAUAGCUGGUCUGAGAGGAUGAUCAGCCACACUGGGACUGGGACACGGCGCAGACUGCUACGGGAGGGAGGAGUGGGGAAUAUAGGAGAAUGGGGGGAAGGAUGAAGGAGCCAUGGCGGGUGAGUGAUGAAGGUGUUAGGAUUGUAAAGCACUUUAACCGGUGAAGAUAAUGACGGUAGCCGGAGAAGAAGCACCGGCUAACUUCGUG